Long non-coding RNA from Dreissena polymorpha, 1187 nucleotides. RefSeq lists it as uncharacterized. The record is from RefSeq and is a predicted model, not a curated record. The transcript has 4 exons. NCBI's taxonomy places the organism in Eukaryota, Metazoa, Mollusca, Bivalvia, Myida, Dreissenidae.
AUUUAUGACAUGCUUUGAAAAUUUCCACAAUAUAGCAUGAAUAUGUUUUUUAAACACUGGCACAAUUGGUGGUUUGUAAUCCGCUUAUUUAAUUCAAAUUAUUCCCCUUGAAAGACACUGUUUCGUUUGAGCAGUUCACAGGUAGCGCAACCUGUCUCGUAGUGUUCAUUUUCAAUGGCUAUUAAACGCUGUAAAUCAAAAUGACAUCGUGUACUAAUGGAUGUCUUCAAUCGAAGAAGGUUCGGAAAUGAUAUUUCCACAUGCUUAAAAUAGGUUGGGAAGUUACGGUCUUGGCGAACAGCAUUCUCACUUUCAGUGUGACAACUGUUGCGGCCAAAAUAAAAACAACAUAGUCAUCUGGUACCUUCUGUGGAGAGUUCUUGUAGGUUUACACAGAAUCAUCACACUAAGCUUUAUGUUGAUAAGACAUACAAAGUUUACACCAGAUUGGCACUUUGGCAUCUGGAAGUCAAAGUGGAGAAACUUCAAUGCAGAAAUGUUGUCUUAUGUCGCUGCGUCUGUGGGGUUAUCGUCAAGGACGGGCCACAACAUCCCCCAGCUUGGGGGAGACUCUUGCAAUCCUGUUGUUAUCUAAGACAGGAAGGAUUACCCAACGACAUUGUUUCACCACAUAAAGAAUGUCACCAAAUUUCAUCAAUUUCCAUGUGUCAGCGGAGCAUCCCGGUGUUGUGGAAUGCAGGGAAUUUAGUGACUCACCAGUAGUCAGAAUCACUCUCAGGAAGGUCUCGAAAGUGAAUGUUAAUGUGAGCUGUGACAACCUGCCAUAAGAAAUGUUUGCGAAAGGGCUCGAUCUGGACCAUCAGUGGUAUUUAUUCGAAAACUAACGUGAAUUCUGUCGCAUAGAUGAACCAAAAACUUGACAUGUCCGAAACGCGCUACUGGUGAGCAACAAAAAACAGACUGUGCCCCCCCAAAAAGAAGAUGCAUUAAGAUGCGCAUCUGAUCUUCUCUGAUGGUGCCACAACAAUUACAUACAUCAUGUAUCAGUGUUUAUUUUGGCCAAGGUAUUGGGUGAUAUAUUUUCCCACAAUGCAAAAAAUCCUCUAUUCCUAGAAAAGCUAAAACAUGUAUACGAUUGCUGAAUGUGUCAGUUGAUACAGGUUUUGAAAUGUUCAAUGCAAACUUUUGUUGUUCUAAUUGCACAAGCUUGUUUUCAAGUUUUUUAU